UNUGACUUGAGUGCAGAAGGGGAGAGUGGAAUUCCAUGUGUAGCGGUGAAAUGCGUAGAUAUAUGGAGGAACACCAGUGGCGAAAGCGGCUCUCUGGUCUGUCACUGACGCUGAGGCUCGAGAGCGUGGGUAGCGAACAGGAUUAGAUACCCUGGUAGUNCACGCCGUAGACGAUGAGUGCUAGGUGUUAGGCCCUUUCCGGGGCUUAGUGCCGGAGCUAACGCAAUAAGCACUCCGCCUGGGGAGUACGACCGCAAGGUUGAAACUCAAAGGAAUUGACGGGGGCCCGCACAAGCGGUGGAGCAUGUGGUUUAAUUCGAAGCAACGCGAAGAACCUUACCAGGUCUUGACAUCCCGAUGCUAUUCUUAGAGAUAGGAAGUUACUUCGGUACAUCGGAGACAGGUGGUGCAUGGUUGUCGUCAGCUCGUGUCGUGAGAUGUUGGGUUAAGUCCCGCAACGAGCGCAACCCUUAUUGUUGGUUGCCAUCAUUAAGUUGGGCACUCUAGCGAGACUGCCGGUAAUAAACCGGAGGAAGGUGGGGAUGACGUCAAAUCAUCAUGCCCCUUAUGACCUGGGCUACACACGUGCUACAAUGGUCGGUACAACGAGUUGCGAGCCGGUGACGGCAAGCUAAUCUCUGAAAGCCGAUCUCAGUUCGGAUUGGAGGCUGCAACUCGCCUCCAUGAAGUC
This 691-nucleotide ribosomal RNA is filed under the name uncultured bacterium. RNAcentral's name for it is "bacterial SSU rRNA". It matches the Rfam family "Bacterial small subunit ribosomal RNA", at positions 636 to 1327 of the family's 1533-position model. The record is from RNAcentral.